AAGGCUUUAGCGUAGAUAAUGAAGCAGAAGUAGAUGUUUUUCUGGAAUUCCUCUGCUUUCUCUGUGAUCCAAUGAAUGUUGGCAAUUUGAUCUCUGCUUCAGUGCAAGCUUGUACUCAAAAGAGCACAGGCUUUCUCUCAUAGACUGUGGGCCAGUCUGCUCAAUAGGCUUCUCCUUAACUGGGGAGGGGGCAGAGUUCUCUUGGAGCCUUUGCGGCUUGCUCUCUAGAUUGCAGUGCGCGGAUGAAGUCUCUCUGCACACAGCCUGCGGAGCUAAGCUGUCUGCUGCAGGUGUUGCACACUAGGAACCCUGGUCUGAAGUUCUCGGUGGAAGGCCUCUCUGCAUGGUGCACCCUGUGAGCAAGUGAAACCAGAAGAAAUAAAAAGGAAAAGAAAAAAAAAGUUAGAUUUUAUUACCCAGAUUCUAUUUUUAUUUCCUGGUAAUUGUUAAUUGGCUUUGCUGGUUAGAAUUUUGGUAUCAGGGUUUGUUGUUGUUCAGUGCCUAGGUCAUCUCCAGUUCUUUGUGACCCCAUGGACUGCAGCACGCCAGACUGCCCUGUCCUUCACUGUCUCUGGGAGUGUGCUCAGAUUCAUGUCCAUUGAGGUGGUGAUGCCAUCCAACCAUCUUAUCAYCAGGGUAAUGCUGCCCUAAUAAAUUGAGUUUGGGAUGUGUUUCCUCCUCUAUUCUGGAAAAGAUUGUGUAGAACUGGUAUUAUUUCUUCCUUAACUGUGAUUAGAAUUUACCAGUGAAAUUGUUUGUUUAUUCAACUUAAAACUCCUAUUAACGCCCAGUUCUGUUUGAGAAACAUCUGGACUGGGUUUUGUGCCCUGGUUCUUAUGAGGCCAAAAACUAUUGGAUGUCCUCCUCGGAUCCUGAGGUUCUCUUCUAGGCUGAAUUGAUGAGUCAGAACUCAGUUCCUUGCAGCUGUAGGACUGAGCACCCUGUGUCCUUGAUGGCUAUCAGCUGGAGGCCGCGUACCAUGCUCCUGGUCACAUGACCCUCUCGGUCUUUGAAACAUGCAGCGGAGAAUCUUUCUGUAGUAGUCUGCUAGGCCUGCCACAACAAAACACCGCAGAACGGGUUGCUUAAAACAAGGAAAUUUUUAUUUUCUUGCAGUUCUGAAGUCUACACAUCCAAAAUCAAGGUGCUUUCUGAGUUGGUUUCUGGUGAGAACCUUUCUCCCUGCUUUCUUGCUGUGGCCUGACAUGGCCUUUUUUCUGUGAACAUGCAGAGAGGGGCGUUAUCUGGUGUUUCUUCCUCUUAUAAGGA
This 1269-nucleotide long non-coding RNA is filed under the name Capra hircus (goat). RNAcentral describes it as "lncRNA (ENSCHIG00010021273.1)". The record is from RNAcentral. Lineage: Eukaryota; Metazoa; Chordata; Mammalia; Artiodactyla; Bovidae.